Peromyscus maniculatus bairdii (prairie deer mouse) is the source of this 1290-nucleotide non-coding RNA. NCBI's taxonomy places the organism in Eukaryota, Metazoa, Chordata, Mammalia, Rodentia, Cricetidae. The record is from RefSeq and is a predicted model, not a curated record.
CUAGGCAAUGUCUCACUCAUUCAUUGGCUAUUUUGAGCAUCCCAGCUCCUCACUGGGCACUGAAAUACAGCGAGAACUCGGAAGGUGUCUGCCUCCACAGGCACACGACAAACACAGUAACAGGCAGUGCAUGGAAGUCCUUCGUUUCCCCGCAGCACAUUUUAACUGGUUUCUGAUUUCCCUUCCUUUUCUGUUUUGCCAUCCUCUGGGUUUUGAGAACGCAGCUGUCUCAGAGCAGGGGCAAGAAAGGCAAUGUGAGCGAGGAGCCCCAGCGUCGACUCGCGUCCUCCAGACACCUGUGUAAGCCGACAGGCUACCUAGAGCUCCUGUUUCCACAGUCACAGCACGAAGAAGCCGAUGUCUCCCCCGUCAUGCGGGCUAGUCUGUGGAUCCUAUCUGUGGCUGUGCCAGGAAGCAUCUGCGAGCCUCCUGCCCAUGAGCGUUCCUGGCUGGCUGUCUAAUGUCCACAGCCUACAGAUGCACAAGUCUUGGCUACUUCUCCAGCACCGUGUCUGCCUGAGUGCCACCAUGCCCCUGCCGUGAUGAUAGUGGACUAACUUCUGAAACUGUAUGGGUGUGUUGCCUGCAUGUAUGUCUGUGUACCACAUGCAUGUUUGGUGCCCUCAGAGGCCAGAAGAAGGCAUCAGAUCCCUCUAAAAGCAGAGUUACCGGUGGUUGUUAGCUACCAGGAAUAGCUUCCUCUUUGCUUACGGGACAGAGAGAAUCACAGUCAGCCCUGAUAGAGUUUCUUCUGCAAAGAAGAAAUUGCUUCCUGGUGAUUGAGCUUCCCUCCCCUGAGCAGCUGUGCAGAAAUUCUCAGACGCCAGUGACUAAUGAAGAUUCUGGGCUCCAGGCUGUUCUCCUCUGACUGUAAGCCCCGAGACUACCUAGUUUCCUUGGGGCUCAGACCUGAGUCAGAAGAAAGAAGGCAUUGGGAAACAUCCUUCAUUCAGUCUGACCUUCCUGUAGAAACCUCCAGCAACUUCCCUGAAAAUGAAGGAUGUUAGGUUUGCAACCGGAAGAGUCAGAAUCGGAAUCCCAGUUCCCACACUCUCCCUGUGGCCUUGGAAGGUUCCAUCUCCUCUUCUGACCUCUUACUGGACAUUGAGGUCCAUUUAAACAUAAAAUGAAAUAGAGGUUGGAACUGUGAACUCUCUGUUCUUCCUGCUACCAUGACUGCUACCUGCCACCAUGAUUUCCUGUCAUGAGGAUGCUCAUCCACCAGGAACUGGAUCAAGACAUGAGCUCUCAGCUGUUCCUGCCAGCAGGCCUUGGACCCACCAUCAUGGA